CCUACGGGAGGCAGCAGUGGGGAAUAUUGGACAAUGGGGGGAACCCUGAUCCAGCCAUGCCGCGUGUGUGAAGAAGGCCCUCGGGUUGUAAAGCACUUUCAGUGAGGAAGAACGCCUGGUGGUUAAUACCCAUCAGGAAAGACAUCACUCACAGAAGAAGCACCGGCUAACUCCGUGCCAGCAGCCGCGGUAAUACGGAGGGUGCGAGCGUUAAUCGGAAUUACUGGGCGUAAAGCGCGCGUAGGUGGCUUGAUAAGCCGGUUGUGAAAGCCCCGGGCUCAACCUGGGAACGGCAUCCGGAACUGUCAAGCUAGAGUGCAGGAGAGGAAGGUAGAAUUCCCGGUGUAGCGGUGAAAUGCGUAGAGAUCGGGAGGAAUACCAGUGGCGAAGGCGGCCUUCUGGACUGACACUGACACUGAGGUGCGAAAGCGUGGGUAGCAAACAGGAUUAGAUACCCUUGUAGUU
RNAcentral lists this ribosomal RNA (465 nucleotides) under Vreelandella stevensii. RNAcentral's name for it is "partial 16S ribosomal RNA". It matches the Rfam family "Bacterial small subunit ribosomal RNA", at positions 338 to 795 of the family's 1533-position model. Lineage: Bacteria; Pseudomonadati; Pseudomonadota; Gammaproteobacteria; Oceanospirillales; Halomonadaceae. The record is from RNAcentral.